This 240-nucleotide unclassified non-coding RNA is filed under the name soil metagenome. RNAcentral describes it as "partial contains 5.8S ribosomal RNA, internal transcribed spacer 2, and large subunit ribosomal RNA". The record is from RNAcentral.
AACAAGGCGUACCUGCGGACCUGCGGAGGGAUCAUUAAAAUAAAUAUAGAAUUUCAUAUUCUUAAACCCUUACAGUGUACUUGUUCUUGUUGCUUCCGUGGGCAGUAGGCCUCGUGUCUGCGACCGCCUUCAUGGUGGACCCGCGGAAGGUACUCAUAAACUCGGUCUUUGUAUGGUAUCUGUCUGAGCUUGUUUAAUUCAUAAACGUUAUAACUUUUAGCAACGGAUCUCAGAUCGGAA